Molecule: ribosomal RNA, 323 nt
Filed under: uncultured eukaryote
Lineage: Eukaryota
Description: partial 18S ribosomal RNA
Rfam family: Eukaryotic small subunit ribosomal RNA
Source: RNAcentral
CCCUUAGAUGUUCUGGGCUGCACGCGUGCUACACUGAUAUUGCCAAUAUGUCAUUCUUAUCCGAAAUGGAUUGGGUAAUCAAGUAAUGAAAUUUCAUGCUUGGAAUCGGUAAUUGCAAUUUUAUCGUGAACGAGGAAUUCCUAGUAAGCACUAGUCAUCAGCUAAUGUUGAUUAUGUCCCUGCCCUUUGUACACACCGCCCGUCGCUACUACUGAUUGGGUGUUCAAGUGAGAUGCUUAGACCCUUGUUGCAUGGUUCAUUAUUGUGCUCCGAAAGGAAAAAGUUUCAAGCUUGAGUGUUUAGAGGAAGUAAAAGUCGUAACA